GAUGAACGCUGGCGGCGUGCUUAACACAUGCAAGUCGAACGAAGCACUUUAUUUGAUUUCCUUCGGGACUGAUUAUUUUGUGACUGAGUGUAGGACGGGUGAGUAACGCGUGGGUAACCUGCCUUGUACAGGGGGAUAACAGUUGGAAACGGCUGCUAAUACCGCAUAAGCGCACAGCAUCGCAUGAUGCAGUGUGAAAAACUCCGGUGGUAUAAGAUGGACCCGCGUUGGAUUAGCUAGUUGGUGAGGUAACGGCCCACCAAGGCGACGAUCCAUAGCCGGGCUGAGAGGGUGACCGGCCACAUUGGUGCUGAGACACGGCCCAAACUCCUACGGGAGGCAGCAGUGGGGAAUAUUGCACAAUGGGCGAAAGCCUGAUGCAGCGACGCCGCGUGAGCGAAGAAGUAUUUCGGUAUGUAAAGCUCUAUCAGCAGGGAAGAUAAUGACGGUACCUAACUAAGAAGCACCGGCUAAGUACGUG
This 481-nucleotide ribosomal RNA is filed under the name uncultured bacterium. RNAcentral's name for it is "partial 16S ribosomal RNA". It matches the Rfam family "Bacterial small subunit ribosomal RNA", at positions 28 to 507 of the family's 1533-position model. The record is from RNAcentral.